UAGAGUUUGAUCAUGGCUCAGAUUGAACGCUGGCGGCAGGCCUAACACAUGCAAGUCGAACGGUAACAGGAAGCAGCUUGCUGCUUUGCUGACGAGUGGCGGACGGGUGAGUAAUGUCUGGGAAACUGCCCGGUGGAGGGGGAUAACUACUGGAAACGGUAGCUAAUACCGCAUAACGUCGCAAGACCAAAGAGGGGGACCUUCGGGCCUCUUGCCACCGGAUGUGCCCAGAUGGGAUUAGCUUGUUGGUGAGGUAACGGCUCACCAAGGCGACGAUCCCUAGCUGGUCUGAGAGGAUGACCAGCCACACUGGAACUGAGACACGGUCCAGACUCCUACGGGAGGCAGCAGUGGGGAAUAUUGCACAAUGGGCGCAAGCCUGAUGCAGCCAUGCCGCGUGUAUGAAGAAGGCCUUCGGGUUGUAAAGUACUUUUCAGCGGGGAGGAAGGGAUUGUGGUUAAUAACCGCAGUCAUUGACGUUACCCGCAGAAGAAGCACCGGCUAACUCCGUGCCAGCAGCCGCGGUAAUACGGAGGGUGCAAGCGUUAAUCGGAAUUACUGGGCGUAAAGCGCACGCAGGCGGUCUGUCAAGUCGGAUGUGAAAUCCCCGGGCUCAACCUGGGAACUGCAUUCGAAACUGGCAGGCUUGAGUCUCGUAGAGGGGGGUGGAAUUCCAGGUGUAGCGGUGAAAUGCGUAGAGAUCUGGAGGAAUACCGGUGGCGAAGGCGGCCCCCUGGACGAAGACUGACGCUCAGGUGCGAAAGCGUGGGGAGCAAACAGGAUUAGAUACCCUGGUAGUCCACGCCGUAAACGAUGUCUACUUGGAGGUUGUGCCCCUGAGGCGUGGCUUCCGGAGCUAACGCGUUAAGUAGACCGCCUGGGGAGUACGGCCGCAAGGUUAAAACUCAAAUGAAUUGACGGGGGCCCGCACAAGCGGUGGAGCAUGUGGUUUAAUUCGAUGCAACGCGAAGAACCUUACCUGGUCUUGACAUCCACGGAAGACUGCAGAGAUGCGGUUGUGCCUUCGGGAACUCUGAGACAGGUGCUGCAUGGCUGUCGUCAGCUCGUGUUGUGAAAUGUUGGGUUAAGUCCCGCAACGAGCGCAACCCUUAUCCUUUGUUGCCAGCGGUCCGGCCGGGAACUCAAAGGAGACUGCCAGUGAUAAACUGGAGGAAGGUGGGGAUGACGUCAAGUCAUCAUGGCCCUUACGACCAGGGCUACACACGUGCUACAAUGGCAUAUACAAAGAGAAGCGACCUCGCGAGAGCAAGCGGACCUCAUAAAGUAUGUCGUAGUCCGGAUUGGAGUCUGCAACUCGACUCCAUGAAGUCGGAAUCGCUAGUAAUCGUGGAUCAGAAUGCCACGGUGAAUACGUUCCCGGGCCUUGUACACACCGCCCGUCACACCAUGGGAGUGGGUUGCAAAAGAAGUAGGUAGCUUAACCUUCGGGAGGGCGCUUACCACUUUGUGAUUCAUGACUGGGGUGAAGUCGUAACAAGGUAACCGUAA
RNAcentral lists this ribosomal RNA (1509 nucleotides) under uncultured bacterium. RNAcentral describes it as "bacterial SSU rRNA". It matches the Rfam family "Bacterial small subunit ribosomal RNA". The record is from RNAcentral.